GGUUCCCACAUUAAAGUAAUCAUCAUUGAAUAAGAACUCCAAUUAUUAUUAUUCUCUGGUUGCCCCCAGAUGAACAUCCAAGUGCUAUGGAGUCAGCUACAUAAUGGGUAAUGGCCAUCUGAUGAACUAUGUUAGACGUCAUGAUGGGUUGUGAUCUUCAGUUCCCUUGCACAGAUAUACUUUGUCAAGAGUCUUAAGAAGGAUCAAAUCAGCAGCGACAUUGUCAUUGGAUUAUGCAUGUCAAAAAUCUAUAGAACAAGUACCACUCAUUCUUUUAUAUGGUUGCAAAUGGCCUUGAUGGCACAGCUCUAACGGUGACCGGUGCAUUGCGUACCAAGGUUUCAUCCUCUUGAAUAUGAAGAUCUAAUCAUGGAUGCGCAUGGUACUGAAAGUGGGCCCAAGUAUUUUGUUUCCUUUUUUCUUCAGGCAUUGUUCCUUACCUAAUCUUCAUCUAAGGUCUGCUCCAGUAAUUGGCAUCCAAGGAAGCAGUCUCAUGUUUUCCAAAUGAAAAAAAAAUGCAAAGAUUUUUUCCAAGUUCAAUUGGUAGGUUUUUAGAGUUCAGGCUAAAAAACUACAAGCUAUGCAUUAAUGUUUUUAUUUGAAUUCUAUGGUUGUUUAAUAUGGUUAGAGGUGAAAUUUGGGACUUGCAAGAGAGGUUGAAAACCCAGAAGACAAGGACUACUCAAUUUGUCUACAUUUUCAUCGUCUCUAACCAAUUUCUUUGUUUAUUAACUGAACCUAAUUGGUAUGCGCUUAACUUUAGCUUCAUGAUAU
Phragmites australis (common reed) is the source of this 774-nucleotide long non-coding RNA. RefSeq lists it as uncharacterized. NCBI's taxonomy places the organism in Eukaryota, Viridiplantae, Streptophyta, Magnoliopsida, Poales, Poaceae. The transcript has 3 exons. The record is from RefSeq and is a predicted model, not a curated record.